CCGGGCGACCGGCGCACGGGUGAGUAACACGUAUGCAACCUGGCCGUGACAGAUGGAUAACCGGGAGAAAUCCCGCCUAAUACAACAUAAUGCCGGGAGGGGACAUCCCCUGCCGGCCAAAGGGGGCGACCCCGGUCACGGAUGGGCAUGCGGCGCAUUAGGUAGUUGGUGGGGCAACGGCCCACCAAGCCGACGAUGCGUAGGGGUUCUGAGAGGAAGGUCCCCCACAUUGGUACUGAGACACGGACCAAACUCCUACGGAAGGCAGCAG
Molecule: ribosomal RNA, 271 nt
Filed under: uncultured bacterium
Lineage: Bacteria
Description: partial 16S ribosomal RNA
Rfam family: Bacterial small subunit ribosomal RNA
Source: RNAcentral